Long non-coding RNA from Chelonia mydas (Green sea turtle), 792 nucleotides. RefSeq lists it as uncharacterized. NCBI's taxonomy places the organism in Eukaryota, Metazoa, Chordata, Testudines, Cheloniidae. The transcript is spliced from 2 exons. The record is from RefSeq and is a predicted model, not a curated record.
GCUACAGCUCACUGCAUCCGAAGCAGUGAGUUGUAGCUCACGAAAGCUUAUGCUCAAAUAAAUUGAUUAGUCUCUAAGGUGCCACAAGUCCUCCUUAGGAGGACAAGUGUCAUAGCACACUGUGACUGAGAAAUUGCUUGCUUUUAUUUUUGCUAUAUAAUUAUAACCAUUUUUCUCACAUGUCAAAAGUGAGCUUGAAUGGUGGGCUUAACUGACCACUAGUGUGCAGCUACAUUGUUAUCCCUUUGUUUAGUGGCUUUAGCUUGAUAUUGGGUGGUGGGGUUUUUGCUUUUUCUUGUUUUUUUGCUUCAGCAGUAGAGUUUUCUGUGAGUCAUGUGCCCUAAAUAAAGUAUAGCUUGAAUGGUCUAACGACAGACUGUAGCGUGUACUUUACAGCUUCUAUACAAAGGCGUUUCACAAUAUUCUGCUAUGCUUCAUUUGUGUUCUCAGUUCCCUGGGUGAGGGGAGGAAGGGGGUGAGUGACUUCUCUCCAAGCUUAAAUCAGUUGAGAAGCUAAUGGUGUUGCCUGAAGCCCACAUACAGAGGGCCACCUUAAAUAACUAGUGUGUUUCACCAGCUGAUGAGGAGGAGGACUGGGAGGGAGGGGGUUAAAAGCUACUUGCUGUCACACACUAUAUUUAGCAACGAGGGUUUUGUGUGGAUACCAAAGUUAAAGGUUCCUAAAAAACAAAUGAUUGUCAGACUCUUAUACAAGCAAUUGUAAUUUUGAUAGGAUUUAAUUCUGCCAGUGGGGAAGGUAACUUUAGUUCUCAAUUUGCAACAUAACCCAAC